AAUAAGUACAGUUUUACACUAUUCAUGUUCAACGUUUGACCGUCCAUCUUAUUUGAAAAUUUUUUAUGAUUAGUAUUUUUAUUGCUAUUAGAUAAUAAAACAUGAAUAGUACUUUAUGUGUGACUAAAUGUUUUUAAUUUUUUCACAAAUUUUUCAAAUAAGACGGACGGUCAAACGUUGAACGUGAAUAGUGCAAAACUGCACUUAUU
This 209-nucleotide microRNA precursor is filed under the name Oryza rufipogon (brownbeard rice). RNAcentral's name for it is "MIR812 microRNA precursor family". It matches the Rfam family "MIR812 microRNA precursor family". Lineage: Eukaryota; Viridiplantae; Streptophyta; Magnoliopsida; Poales; Poaceae. The record is from Rfam by way of RNAcentral.